Molecule: ribosomal RNA, 530 nt
Filed under: uncultured archaeon
Lineage: Archaea
Description: bacterial SSU rRNA
Rfam family: Bacterial small subunit ribosomal RNA
Source: RNAcentral
CAGCAGCCGCGGUAAUACAUAGGGGGCAAGCGUUAUCCGGAAUUAUUGGGCGUAAAGGGUGCGUAGGCGGUAAGUUAAGUUUAAAGUAUAAGCUCAUGGCUCAACCAUGGGAGGCUUUAAAAACUGGCAAACUAGAGUACAGUAGAGGCAAGUGGAAUUCCAUGUGUAGCGGUAAAAUGCGUAAAUAUAUGGAGGAACACCAGUGGCGAAGGCGGCUUGCUGGGCUGUAACUGACGCUGAGGCACGAAAGCGUGGGGAGCAAACAGGAUUAGAUACCCUGGUAGUCCACGCCGUAAACGAUGAGCAUUAAGUGUUGGAAUAAUUCAGUGCUGAAGCUAACGUAUUAAAUGCUCCGCCUGAGUAGUACGUGCGCAAGCAUGAAACUCAAAGGAAUUGACGGGACCCCGCACAAGCGGUGGAUCAUGUUGUUUAAUUCGAGGAUACGCGAAGAACCUUACCAGGCCUUGACAUCUUCUGCGAAGCUAUAGAGAUAUAGUGGAGGUUAACAGAAUGACAGGUGGUGCAUGGCC